This 803-nucleotide long non-coding RNA is filed under the name Homo sapiens (human). RNAcentral describes it as "long intergenic non-protein coding RNA 1118". Lineage: Eukaryota; Metazoa; Chordata; Mammalia; Primates; Hominidae. The record is from RNAcentral.
AAGAAUCAGCCCCUGAGGUCUCCAGGAAGUACCUUGAUUUGAAAGAGCUGUGACCAACCUCAGUGGCAUGUCCAACUACCACGCUGCAGAAGUCUGUGAGGCCGUGGUCCUCAGCCCUUUGCACAGAUUAAAACCCCAAUCCCAGCCGCACCCCAGACCAAUCAAUCAGGAUCUCUGGAGAUGGGGCCCAGGCAUCUAUAUAUAUGUAUAUAUAUAUAUUUUUUUAAUUCCUCAGAUGAUUCCAAUGUACAGCCAAUGAUGAGCAGCUGCUGGGCUGAAGGGACUGGGGCCAUUUUAUACCAGUUGUAGGAUGUUACACAGAAAUGCCUGAAAAGCAAGGAGCAGCUAUCAGAAUGUUUGGUGACACAGCUCCUCCUGUCGUGGUUCCUUCGGCAUGGACUUCACAUUCAGCAGAUCCAUGAGGUGUUCCCUUUCGGAUGAGCUCCAAGGUCUUAAGAGAGCAUCUCUAGUCUGCGUGAGUCCGUCUGAACGACGGUCCUGAGCAAGAACCACCUAUAACCAUCUGCUCAAAAUAACUCAGGGGAAGUCAAAGCUUUCUAUGUGGAAGGUGACUGAAACCACAUACACAGACCACUGCAGCAUUCCUGACAUUAUGGAACUUGGAAAUGAUUCCAAACAUGGCCAUAGCUUGAGUAACAUGUUUUGCUAUGACAAGAACUUGGACUGUAGUCCUUCCCCCUCUCAAGAAUGUGACAUCACACCUUAUCAGAUCCUACGAGUGAGCUACUGACCUCAACCACUGAACUUCAAACUAUGUAAAAACCUAAGGGUUCGACAGACAC